GACGAACGCUGGCGGCGUGCUUAACACAUGCAAGUCGAACGGUGAAGCGCCUUCCUUUUUGGUGGGUGUGGAUGAGUGGCGAACGGGUGAGUAACACGUGAGUAACCUGCCCCCUUCUUCUGGAUAACCGCAUGAAAGUGUGGCUAAUACGGGAUAUUCUGGGUCUGUCGCAUGAUUGGUCUGGGAAAGAUAUUGUUUCGGUGGGGGAUGGGCUCGCGGCCUAUCAGCUUGUUGGUGGGGUGAUGGCCUACCAAGGCGGUGGCGGGUAGCCGGCCUGAGAGGGUGGACGGUCACACUGGGGCUGAGACACGGCCCAGACUCCUACGGGGGGCAGCAGUGGGGAAUAUUGCACAAUGGGCGCAAGCCUGAUGCAGCGACGCCGCGUGAGGGAUGGAGGCCUUCGGGUUGUGAACCUCUUUCGCCAGUGAAGCAGGCCUGCCUCGUUUGUGGGUGGGUUGACGGUAGCUGGAUAAGAAGCGCCGGCUAACUACGUG
RNAcentral lists this ribosomal RNA (494 nucleotides) under uncultured bacterium. RNAcentral's name for it is "partial 16S ribosomal RNA". It matches the Rfam family "Bacterial small subunit ribosomal RNA", at positions 28 to 507 of the family's 1533-position model. The record is from RNAcentral.